Molecule: long non-coding RNA, 593 nt
Organism: Trichomycterus rosablanca
Lineage: Eukaryota; Metazoa; Chordata; Actinopteri; Siluriformes; Trichomycteridae
Exons: 3
Source: RefSeq, a predicted model, not a curated record
GGGCCAUCUGGUUCUCAUCAAAACGAAUGUAAAAGUGGCUGGGUGACACCAUCUUCUCCACCAGCACUGGCACCAGUUCCCUCGAACUCCUGCGGGUCGGAGGUUUCAGCCUUUGGCACCGCACCGCGUCCAAAGGAACCACAGAGCCAUGAGUCGCCAGCGUCCGAGGGAAAAGGUCCACCAUCUGAAAAUGGAAACACAUCUGACUAAGCAUAUCUGUUCAUCAAAUCAGGCACUACAGCGUACUUCUGACUACCUUUGAAUGCACCUGUUGGAUGGUCUUGUUGGUGAUUCUGAUCUCAGACUCGGGCUCUGAAGACCGAUCAGACUCUCCUCCAUAAUUCUGAGGCUCCCAGGCUGACUGAGUAUAGCUGAAGUAGUGUCCAUCACUGGAAAGGUUUAAGAGCUCUGCUGAAGGACACUGCUCCUGGCUGACCGUUCCUGCAUCCCCGCUUUCAAGAAUCCUUUGCCUUAAUUCCUUCUCAAGCUGCCGCACGUAACCAUGAAAAUAAAGCCAUUUAUACAACUUUAUAGGAUAAAACUUUUUUUUUAAUACCGUGAGUUCAGUGAGUGCAUUCCGAAUGUUGUCAAUA